CCCGCGCCCGCGCGCCCUCCUCCGCCAGGCCAGAGAACCGCUCUGUUAUUUUGGGGGCACUGCCAGGCUAAGCUGUUGAGGUUGGGGACACAGCGAGUGACUCUCCAAGAACAGCAUGUGACAAGCAGACCCUUCCCGGCAGUCGGCGCGGCUGAGAGCUGCCUCCGCUGCCCAUCCUGUCCAGGUUUCUCACUGCCCACAGCAUCUUUCAGCCCUCACAGCUUCAGGGCAAAGCCUGAGGCCCCUCCAGCUGCCCAUGAUGCAGCCCCGCCCCCUGCACCCCAGGUCCCUGCAACUCUGCAUCUCCCCAGUUCCCUGUCCCUGGCCUUUCCAGGGCACCUGCAUGCUUUGCUCUCACCUUGACCUCCACCUUCGCCCUCCCCAGCACACUGUCUCCUCUUGUCCUCCUUGGUCCCUCCCUGAGGAAACCCCUCUCCCCCACUUUCAGCCAGAGAAACCCCACUCCUCUGCCCACGCCCCCACCUGCCCUGCCCCUGUCUCAGGGACUGUCCACUGUCAGCAGAGUCUCACAGUUCUGGAACUUGGGGCAACUUGGUCCUCUUCCAGGCCUACCCCCUGCACUCUCUAAAGGGCAGUCCUGAGCCCAGAGAGGGGCAGGAGCUGCACAAGGCCACACAGCCUGUUAGUGGCAGAGUUAGGACUGGAACACAGCUCUCCCGAGUCCCUGCCUGGGGCUCCUUGGAGGACAUAUGGCUUCCCCACCUGGUGAACCAGAAUGGAACUCAAGGACAGGGACUAUACCAUUCCUUCCAGUGUCCCCCACCCCUCACCCAGAGCAGGACCCACAGGAAGCAACUGUGAAUACAAAAGG
Molecule: long non-coding RNA, 832 nt
Organism: Sapajus apella (tufted capuchin)
Lineage: Eukaryota; Metazoa; Chordata; Mammalia; Primates; Cebidae
Exons: 2
Source: RefSeq, a predicted model, not a curated record